GAAAUGCGAUAAGUAGUGUGAAUUGCAGAAUUCAGUGAAUCAUCGAAUCUUUGAACGCACAUUGCGCCCCUUGGUAUUCCAUGGGGCAUGCCUGUUCGAGCGUCAUUUGUACCCUCAAGCUCUGCUUGGUGUUGGGUGUUUGUCCCGUCUCCGCGCGUGGACUCGCCCCAAAGUGAUUGGCAGCCGGCGUACUGGUCCCGGAGCGCAGCACAUGUCGCGCAAACGAGUGCCUUGGUACGGCGGCGUCCAUAAGCCCCUCUCUCACGCUCUUGACCUCGGAUCAGGUAGGGAUACCCGCUGAACUUGCGC
RNAcentral lists this unclassified non-coding RNA (309 nucleotides) under plant metagenome. RNAcentral describes it as "partial contains 5.8S ribosomal RNA, internal transcribed spacer 2, and large subunit ribosomal RNA". The stretch from base 1 to 105 matches the Rfam family "5.8S ribosomal RNA", at positions 50 to 154 of the family's 154-position model. The record is from RNAcentral.